CAGCCUGGGCAACAGAGCAAGAUCCCAUCGCAAAAAAAAAAAAUUAAAAUUAAAAAAAAUUAAUCCUUAUGAUGCCACAGUAGACCUUGAUCUGGAAGAUGUGACUGCUGACCUAUCCUGCCUCCUUGGGUCUGAUACAAACAAGCCGAGUGGGAACUGGCAAAAGGGCACGGCUAGGUGUACCUAUGUGACUAAUGUCCAACCAAUGGAAAGUAAGUGGAAGCGUUAGGUGCGAUUUCAUAAAGGGAGAGUGGUACUCUUUUUUGCUUCUUCCACCUCAUGACAGCUCAAAUGCAGACAUAAUGGCAAGACUCAAGCCGCCAUAUUGGAGUGUGGGGUAAAAGCCACUCACUGAGGACAGCAGAACUGGAUAGACGUCUCCUGAGUCCUUGAUAAUUAUGGAGGCACCACGCUAGCCUUGGACAGCCUAUCUCUGGAAUGUGUGUGAAGUUUGUGUUUCAUAAUGUUGCUGUAAUUUUGGGUGCUCUAUUACUCAAGAGUGAAUCUAAUCCUCGCUAAAUCAGAGGUGUCACACGUCGUGCCACUACUCAUUAAUUUGGGGCAUUAGAUUUACUUUCAAAUUGUUGUUAUUCUAAAUAGCAUAACAUGAACCUCUUUAUGUAAAAAACUCAA
This is a long non-coding RNA of Homo sapiens (human), 633 nucleotides long. RefSeq lists it as uncharacterized. The transcript has 2 exons. The record is from RefSeq and is a predicted model, not a curated record. Lineage: Eukaryota; Metazoa; Chordata; Mammalia; Primates; Hominidae.